UACGGAGGGGACUAGCGUUGUUCGGAAUUACUGGGCGUAAAGCGCACGUAGGCGGAUUUGUAAGUCUGGGGUGAAAUCCCGGGGCUCAACCUCGGAACUGCCUUUGAUACUGCAAAUCUCGAGUCCGGAAGAGGUGAGUGGAAUUCCUAGUGUAGAGGUGAAAUUCGUAGAUAUUAGGAAGAACACCAGUGGCGAAGGCGGCUCACGGGUCCGGUAAUGACGCUGAGGUGCGAAAGCGUGGGGAGCAAACAGG
RNAcentral lists this ribosomal RNA (253 nucleotides) under uncultured bacterium. RNAcentral's name for it is "partial 16S ribosomal RNA". It matches the Rfam family "Bacterial small subunit ribosomal RNA", at positions 524 to 776 of the family's 1533-position model. The record is from RNAcentral.